CUACGGGUCGCAGCAGUGGGGAAUAUUGCACAAUGGGCGCAAGCCUGAUGCAGCCAUGCCGCGUGUAUGAAGAAGGCCUUCGGGUUGUAAAGUACUUUCAGCGGGGAGGAAGGGAGUAAAGUUAAUACCUUUGCUCAUUGACGUUACCCGCAGAAGAGGCACCGGCUAACUCCGUGCCAGCAGCCGCGGUAAUACGGAGGGUGCAAGCGUUAAUCGGAAUUACUGGGCGUAAAGCGCACGCAGGCGGGUUGUUAAGUCAGAUGUGAAAUCCCCGGGCUCAACCUGGGAACUGCACCUGAUACUGGCAAGCUAGAGGCUCGUAGAGGGGGGUAGAAUUCCAGGUGUAGCGGUGAAAUGCGUAGAGAUCUGGAGGAAUACCGGUGGCGAAGGCGGCCCCCUGGACGAAAACUGACGCUCAGGUGCGAAAGCGUGGGGAGCAAACAGGAUUAGAUACCCGCGUAGUC
RNAcentral lists this ribosomal RNA (464 nucleotides) under uncultured bacterium. Its description in RNAcentral is "partial 16S ribosomal RNA". It matches the Rfam family "Bacterial small subunit ribosomal RNA", at positions 339 to 795 of the family's 1533-position model. The record is from RNAcentral.